UACGAAGGGUGCAAGCGUUACUCGGAAUCACUGGGCGUAAAGCGUGCGUAGGCGGUUGGUUAAGUCUGCUGUGAAAGCCCUGGGCUCAACCUGGGAACUGCAGUGGAUACUGGCCAGCUAGAGUGUGAUAGAGGAUGGUGGAAUUCCCGGUGUAGCGGUGAAAUGCGUAGAGAUCGGGAGGAACACCAGUGGCGAAAGCGGCUUCCUGGUCCAGCACCGACGUUCAGGCACGAAAGCGUGGGGAGCAAACAGG
RNAcentral lists this ribosomal RNA (253 nucleotides) under uncultured bacterium. Its description in RNAcentral is "partial 16S ribosomal RNA". It matches the Rfam family "Bacterial small subunit ribosomal RNA", at positions 524 to 776 of the family's 1533-position model. The record is from RNAcentral.